This 74-nucleotide transfer RNA is filed under the name TM7 phylum sp. oral taxon 352. RNAcentral describes it as "tRNA-Gln". It matches the Rfam family "tRNA". Rfam says of the family: Transfer RNA (tRNA) molecules are approximately 80 nucleotides in length. Their secondary structure includes four short double-helical elements and three loops (D, anti-codon, and T loops). Lineage: Bacteria; Candidatus Saccharimonadota. The record is from RNAcentral.
UGAGAUAUAGUGUAAUGGUAACACUGUAGGUUUUGGUCCUGCCAUUAUAGGUUCGAAUCCUAUUGUCUCAACUA